RNAcentral lists this ribosomal RNA (253 nucleotides) under uncultured bacterium. Its description in RNAcentral is "partial 16S ribosomal RNA". It matches the Rfam family "Bacterial small subunit ribosomal RNA", at positions 524 to 776 of the family's 1533-position model. The record is from RNAcentral.
UACGUAGGGCGCAAGCGUUGCCCGGAAUUAUUGGGCGUAAAGAGCUCGUAGGCGGCUUGUCACGUCGGGUGUGAAAGCCCGGGGCUUAACCCCGGGUCUGCAUUCGAUACGGGCAGGCUAGAGUGUGGUAGGGGAGAUCGGAAUUCCUGGUGUAGCGGUGAAAUGCGCAGAUAUCAGGAGGAACACCGGUGGCGAAGGCGGAUCUCUGGGCCAUUACUGACGCUGAGGAGCGAAAGCGUGGGGAGCGAACAGG